GGUGAACCUGCGCAGGGAUCAUUA
This 24-nucleotide ribosomal RNA is filed under the name Septoria dearnessii. RNAcentral describes it as "partial 18S ribosomal RNA". Lineage: Eukaryota; Fungi; Ascomycota; Dothideomycetes; Mycosphaerellales; Mycosphaerellaceae. The record is from RNAcentral.